This 77-nucleotide ribozyme is filed under the name unclassified sequences. Its description in RNAcentral is "HDV ribozyme from F. prausnitzii". It matches the Rfam family "HDV ribozyme from F. prausnitzii". The record is from RNAcentral.
GCCGCUCGAAUCUUUGCACACCUCUACGUGGUGAGCGGCAGGCAACACAGUAUAGACACUGUGGCUAAGAUGCGGAG